This 74-nucleotide transfer RNA is filed under the name Marmota monax (woodchuck). Its description in RNAcentral is "tRNA.Ala". The record is from RNAcentral. Lineage: Eukaryota; Metazoa; Chordata; Mammalia; Rodentia; Sciuridae.
UGGGGUUUUGGCUCAAGAGGUAGAGUGCUCACCUAGCAUGCGUGAGGCACUGGGUUCAAUCCUCAGCACCACAU